CCUACGGGCGGCUGCAGUGGGGAAUAUUGCACAAUGGGCGCAAGCCUGAUGCAGCCAUGCCGCGUGUGUGAAGAAGGCCUUCGGGUUGUAAAGCACUUUCAGCGGGGAGGAAGGCGGUGAGGUUAAUGACCUCAUCGAUUGACGUUACCCGCAGAAGAAGCACCGGCUAACUCCGUGCCAGCAGCCGCGGUAAUACGGAGGGUGCAAGCGUUAAUCGGAAUUACUGGGCGUAAAGCGCACGCAGGCGGUCUGUCAAGUCGGAUGUGAAAUCCCCGGGCUCAACCUGGGAACUGCAUUCGAAACUGGCAGGCUAGAGUCUUGUAGAGGGGGGUAGAAUUCCAGGUGUAGCGGUGAAAUGCGUAGAGAUCUGGAGGAAUACCGGUGGCGAAGGCGGCCCCCUGGACAAAGACUGACGCUCAGGUGCGAAAGCGUGGGGAGCAAACAGGAUUAGAUACCCUAGUAGUC
RNAcentral lists this ribosomal RNA (465 nucleotides) under uncultured Klebsiella sp. RNAcentral describes it as "bacterial SSU rRNA". It matches the Rfam family "Bacterial small subunit ribosomal RNA", at positions 338 to 795 of the family's 1533-position model. Lineage: Bacteria; Pseudomonadati; Pseudomonadota; Gammaproteobacteria; Enterobacterales; Enterobacteriaceae. The record is from RNAcentral.